GCAGCAUCACAGAAAAUGAUGCUCUCUCCUGCCAAGUCCCAUCUUUUGGAAGGAAGAAAUUGAUUAGGUCCUGGAGGUUUUCAUAAAUGCAUCAAAUGACUUUCUUAGCAUCAUCUGAAACAGAAGAAAUUAAAGCUCGAGAAGUUCAAUACCUUGCCCAAAAUCACACACACACUAGUGAACAGCAUAGUCAACAUUUGAACCAACCAGUCUGCCUAAUUUCAAAGUCUACGUUCUUGGAUGUGAGGGAGAUCUGGAUGUGACAUCUGCCACCCAUUGAUCACCAGGUUUGAUCCAGCUGAUCUGACUGGCUAGGCAGGUGUCCCCUUCCUCCCUCAACACUCCAUGUGUAUCCCUCCCAAAGCUGCAUGCUCAGUUGAAGAGGACGACCAUCCCCAAGAGAGAAGGGCCAGUCUUCCAGUAAAGGGUAUAUGAGUAGCUGUGCUCCCCUGCUAGAACCUCCAAAUGAGCUUUCAAAGUCUACAUUCUUCAUCAUCAAGUGAUAUUGCCUCUCUAAAGAGAAAAUUGAAAAAUUCAGGAAGACUGCUCCUUAUGUGUGACCAGGGCUAUAUAUAGCAGACAUUCCUUAACUAUCUCUUGAAUGAAAAUGAGUGAGU
Molecule: non-coding RNA, 617 nt
Organism: Macaca mulatta (Rhesus monkey)
Lineage: Eukaryota; Metazoa; Chordata; Mammalia; Primates; Cercopithecidae
Source: RefSeq, a predicted model, not a curated record